AACGAACGCUGGCGGCAUGCCUAACACAUGCAAGUCGAACGAUUGCCUUCGGGUGAUAGUGGCGCACGGGUGCGUAACGCGUGGGAAUCUGCCCUUAGGUUCGGAAUAACAGCUGGAAACGGCUGCUAAUACCGGAUGAUAUCGCGAGAUCAAAGAUUUAUCGCCUGAGGAUGCGCCCGCGUUGGAUUAGGUAGUUGGUGGGGUAAAGGCCUACCAAGCCGACGAUCCAUAGCUGGUCUGAGAGGAUGAUCAGCCACACUGGGACUGAGACACGGCCCAGACUCCUACGGGAGGCAGGAGUGGGGAAUAGUGGAAAAUGGGCGCAAGCCUGAUCGAGCAAUGACGCGUGAGUGAUGAAGGCACUAGAGUUGUAAAGCUCUUUUAACCGGGAAGAUAAUGACUGUACCGGGAGAAUAAGCCCCGGCUAACUCCGUG
RNAcentral lists this ribosomal RNA (435 nucleotides) under uncultured bacterium. RNAcentral's name for it is "partial 16S ribosomal RNA". It matches the Rfam family "Bacterial small subunit ribosomal RNA", at positions 29 to 507 of the family's 1533-position model. The record is from RNAcentral.